AAAAAAUGUCUGACAGAAAGUGCCGGAAGCUCCGGAAGUAUCCUUUUCGUUGUGGUUGGAUGCAGAAAACGGUAGAUUAUUGGCCGCUGUGUUAUGUAAGGAUGUCAAUAUGGAUCACGGAAGAUCCUAGCAACCUAUCGCGUCUGGCCAAACUACUGCGAUUCCAUUCCAACGUGCUGAUACCACAUUAACUCCAGUCGUCCAACAGUAAGAGCUAAAAUCAGGAAUGCCCUGUUCGCCUUCGUCUUUCAACCUUGCAGUGCGCUACCGUUUCCAAUGCUUCGCUGGACCAACCAAAGGAACGUCUUAGCUUUGCUAACGCCCACUAGAAGAUCCACGCCUCUAUAGAAAAUUUAUACCAAUUAUCAACAACCAGAAACCAGCAUGGCUCGAGUAUGUUUGAAAUCGACUGCUCCACGACCACGAACAUAACAACAACGCCUCCUGUCCUACAGGCAAAUAUAUCUCAGAUUAAAAAAAUCGACCAGGUACACAAGCAGAAAGAAAGUCUUUUAAAUAACGAUUGCUAAGACAAAAUAAUAUUGUGUUGUUUUACUUGCAAUGUUAAACUGACAGCAUAAUGUAUUUCAAUGAGUGUUGACACUUUUUAAUCCGGAAAACUCCGAACUUUUUAAUCCAGAGAGCUCCGAGAUCCGGACUAACGAGUCAUUGGAUUAGCAAAGGCCGGAUAAGCGGGGGAUACUGUAUAUUGAAUCUAAUAAUAAAUCAGAAUUCGAAUGAAAUCUACAGUAUAUUUCUUUGUUUCACAAUCUAUUCU
This is a long non-coding RNA of Armigeres subalbatus, 778 nucleotides long. RefSeq lists it as uncharacterized. The record is from RefSeq and is a predicted model, not a curated record. Lineage: Eukaryota; Metazoa; Arthropoda; Insecta; Diptera; Culicidae. The transcript has 3 exons.